AACCAUAGAAACCUGCGGAGUACCUGCGGAGGGAUCAUUAUAGUAUAUGGAAUCUCCAUUCUAUAAACCCACUCUGCGUAUCUUGUAACUGUUGCUUCCAUGGGACUUGGUUUCGCCACACCGGCUUCACGGCUGGUGAGCGCCCAUGGAAGGAGAAACAAAACUCUUCUUUGAAAUGUAGUCAGUCUGAACAAGUUUUUAUAAACGUUAAAACUUUUAACAAUGGAUCUCAGAUCGGAA
RNAcentral lists this unclassified non-coding RNA (240 nucleotides) under soil metagenome. RNAcentral's name for it is "partial contains 5.8S ribosomal RNA, internal transcribed spacer 2, and large subunit ribosomal RNA". The record is from RNAcentral.